Molecule: ribosomal RNA, 318 nt
Filed under: bacterium CYB50
Lineage: Bacteria
Description: bacterial SSU rRNA
Rfam family: Bacterial small subunit ribosomal RNA (bases 1-259)
Source: RNAcentral
AGUGGCGAACGGGUGAGUAACACGUGGGUAAUCUGCCCUGCACUUCGGGAUAAGCCUGGGAAACCGGGUCUAAUACCGGAUAUGAGCUCCUGCCGCAUGGUGGGGGUUGGAAAGUUUUUCGGUGCAGGAUGAGUCCGCGGCCUAUCAGCUUGUUGGUGGGGUAAUGGCCUACCAAGGCCACCACGGGUAGCCGGCCUGAAAGGGUGAUCGGCCACACUGGGACUGAGACACGGCCCAGACUCCUACGGGAGGCAGCAAUCCGCAAGAAUGCGCCAUGUAGAGUUUCAUCCUGGCUCAGCACCCUCGGUAAUACAUCGG